Molecule: transfer RNA, 57 nt
Filed under: Biomphalaria glabrata
Lineage: Eukaryota; Metazoa; Mollusca; Gastropoda; Planorbidae
Description: tRNA-Cys
Source: RNAcentral
AAACUAGUUUAUUAAAAAUUUUUGAUUGCAAGUCAGACGAAGAUUAACAAUCGUUUU